Molecule: transfer RNA, 79 nt
Filed under: Promethearchaeota archaeon
Lineage: Archaea; Promethearchaeati; Promethearchaeota
Description: Candidatus Lokiarchaeota archaeon (marine sediment metagenome) tRNA-Glu
Rfam family: tRNA
About the family: Transfer RNA (tRNA) molecules are approximately 80 nucleotides in length. Their secondary structure includes four short double-helical elements and three loops (D, anti-codon, and T loops). Further hydrogen bonds mediate the characteristic L-shaped molecular structure. tRNAs have two regions of fundamental functional importance: the anti-codon, which is responsible for specific mRNA codon recognition, and the 3' end, to which the tRNAs corresponding amino acid is attached (by aminoacyl-tRNA synthetases). tRNAs cope with the degeneracy of the genetic code in two manners: having more than one tRNA (with a specific anti-codon) for a particular amino acid; and 'wobble' base-pairing, i.e. permitting non-standard base-pairing at the 3rd anti-codon position.
Source: RNAcentral
GCUCCGGUGGUGUAGCCCGGCCAAGCAUUUAGGGCUUUCAACUCAGUAGGAAACCCGGGUUCGAAUCCCGGCCGGAGCA